This 492-nucleotide ribosomal RNA is filed under the name uncultured bacterium. RNAcentral's name for it is "partial 16S ribosomal RNA". It matches the Rfam family "Bacterial small subunit ribosomal RNA", at positions 29 to 507 of the family's 1533-position model. The record is from RNAcentral.
AGUGAACGCUGGCGGCAGGCCUAACAUAUGCAAGUCGAACGGCAGCACAGUACGAGCUUGUUCUUACGGCUGGCGAGUGGCGGACGGGUCAGGUACAACUCGGAAUCUACUUUUUAGAGCGGGCUAACGUAGGCAAUUUUACGCCAAUACUGCAUCCGACUUACGGGUGAAACCUGGGGAUCUUCGGACUUCGCGCGAUUCUAUGAGCAGUUGUCGGAUUAGUUAGUUGGUGGCGUACAGGCCCACCCAGGCGACUAUCCGUAGCUGGUCUGAGAGGAUGAUCAGCCACACUGGAAGUGAGACACGGUCCAGACUCCUACGGGAGGCAGCAGUGGGGAAUAUUGGACAAUGGGCGCAAGCCUGAUCCAGCCAUCCCGCGUGGGUGAAGAAGGCCUUCGGUGUGUAAAGCCAUUUUUUUGGGAAAGAAAAGCAGCACGUUAAUACCCCGCUGUUCUGACGUUACCCAAAGAAUAAGCACCGGCUAACUUCGUG